UACGGGGGGGGCAAGCGUUGUUCGGAAUUACUGGGCGUAAAGGGCUCGUAGGCGGCCAACUAAGUCAGACGUGAAAUCCCUCGGCUUAACCGGGGAACUGCGUCUGAUACUGGAUGGCUUGAGGUUGGGAGAGGGAUGCGGAAUUCCAGGUGUAGCGGUGAAAUGCGUAGAUAUCUGGAGGAACACCGGUGGCGAAGGCGGCUAUCUGGACAGAGUCUGACGCUGAGGCGCGAAAGCUAGGGGAGCAAACAGG
RNAcentral lists this ribosomal RNA (253 nucleotides) under uncultured bacterium. RNAcentral's name for it is "partial 16S ribosomal RNA". It matches the Rfam family "Bacterial small subunit ribosomal RNA", at positions 524 to 776 of the family's 1533-position model. The record is from RNAcentral.